This 169-nucleotide ribosomal RNA is filed under the name Psathyrella sp. RNAcentral describes it as "partial large subunit ribosomal RNA". It matches the Rfam family "Eukaryotic large subunit ribosomal RNA", at positions 99 to 261 of the family's 3401-position model. The record is from RNAcentral. Lineage: Eukaryota; Fungi; Basidiomycota; Agaricomycetes; Agaricales; Psathyrellaceae.
CGGGAAAAGCUCAAAUUUAAAAUCUGGUGGUCUUUGGCCAUCCGAGUUGUAAUCUAGAGAAGUGUUACCCGCGUCGGACCGUGUAUAAGUCUCCUGGAAUGGAGCGUCAUAGAGGGUGAGAAUCCCGUCUUUGACACGGACUACCGAGGCUUUGUGGUAUGCUCUCAAA